This 588-nucleotide long non-coding RNA is filed under the name Gallus gallus (chicken). Lineage: Eukaryota; Metazoa; Chordata; Aves; Galliformes; Phasianidae. The record is from RNAcentral.
GAUUUUUCUAAUCUUGAUCUGUGCUCAUAUACAACUUGUAGCUGGGCCGAGAGGGACUCCUGGUGCUGCUGGUACUUGAGCGCCGUGGCCUCAGCCUUCCGCAGCUGGCUCUGCAGCUCGUAGUACAGCAUCGCCCCGUAGAUGAAGCUGAACACCACAGUCAGCAGCACGAGGGUCUGGAAAAUCCGCUUCUGCUUUCGGGAGCACAUCCCGUUGCCCAUGUCCCCGGCGGGGUCCCGGCGCCCCCGCCCCUCACGGCACAGCGGAGGGAGGCGGCGGGCGGCGGCGAUGAGGCGGAGACAUCGGCGGCCCCGGGCCCGCGCCGGGGGUGGCGAGGAGGCGGGGAGCGGCCGGCCGAGCGCCUCAGCCCCGGGGCACCGCCGCGACGCCCCGGGCGGCCUCGUGCAGCCUGCGGGCCCCGCGCCUCCAGGCGGAGCCGGCCCGCAUGCUGCGCCGCCCGGGCGGCGGGAGGGAGCGGCCCCCGGCGCUGUGGCUGCGAGGCGAGGGGCGGCUCCCUGCUCGCCUCGGGCGGCCCCUCCGGCCCGGUCCGGCCCCGCGGCCACCUGAGAGGAACAAAGGAAACUUCCC